GACGAACGCUGGCGGCGUGCUUAACACAUGCAAGUCGAACGGAAAGGCCCUGCUUUUGUGGGGUGCUCGAGUGGCGAACGGGUGAGUAACACGUGAGUAACCUGCCCUUGACUUUGGGAUAACUUCAGGAAACUGGGGCUAAUACAGGGUAGGAGCUCCUGCUGCAUGGUGGUGGUUGGAAAGUUUCGGCGGUUGGGGAUGGACUCGCGGCUUAUCAGCUUGUUGGUGAGGUAGUGGCUUACCAAGGCUUUGACGGGUAGCCGGCCUGAGAGGGUGGCCGGCCACAUUGGGCCUGCGAUACGGCCCAGACUCCUACGGGAGGCAGCAGUGGGGAAUAUUGCACAAUGGGCGGAAGCCUGAUGCAGCAACGCCGCGUGCGUGAUGACGGCCUUCGGGUUGUAAACCGCUUUCGCCUGUGACGAAGCGUGAGUGACGGUAAUGGGUAAAGAAGCACCGGCUAACUACGUG
Molecule: ribosomal RNA, 468 nt
Filed under: uncultured bacterium
Lineage: Bacteria
Description: partial 16S ribosomal RNA
Rfam family: Bacterial small subunit ribosomal RNA
Source: RNAcentral